UUUUCAGCUUAAUAUCUGAAAGUUCCCUCACUGAGGGACCAGUAUAUUAAACUGAUUUUUGUAUCUAGAUGGGNUAGUUGGGGCUCGCUCCACGCUCAUCGCGG
Molecule: small nuclear RNA, 104 nt
Filed under: Cameraria ohridella
Lineage: Eukaryota; Metazoa; Arthropoda; Insecta; Lepidoptera; Gracillariidae
Description: partial U2
Rfam family: U2 spliceosomal RNA
About the family: U2 is a small nuclear RNA (snRNA) component of the spliceosome (involved in pre-mRNA splicing). Complementary binding between U2 snRNA (in an area lying towards the 5' end but 3' to hairpin I) and the branchpoint sequence (BPS) of the intron results the bulging out of an unpaired adenosine, on the BPS, which initiates a nucleophilic attack at the intronic 5' splice site, thus starting the first of two transesterification reactions that mediate splicing.
Source: RNAcentral